UCCAUCGGUUUUGAGUUUUCGCAAAAGUAGGCUGUCUUUUUGAAUUUUGCAAAUUCUGUCCGGAUUCUUAAUAAAGUGGUUAAAAUACCUUUAUUCCUCUUUCUCUUUUCUUUUUGUUUCAUACUCUUCUUUUUUCGUACGACCUGUCUUCUUCCUUCUCGUCAUUUCUUUCUCUCUUUCUCCUCCUACUUUCUUUUCUUUCUCCUCCUCUAGUACCACCCCGACAUUAACAAUGCGCUCCUUUCUCUUACUUUGCCCACACAUCUGCUGAGGCCGGCUCGAAUAUGGUAUAGAUUACGAUGCGGUGGAAUACUUGGCCAUGGAUGGUGACGGCGAUGGCGAUGAGGGUGCCGUAGGUUUGAGGACAACGGAGAGGGAGAGUGGCGAAGGCCGCGGUGGUUGCGGCAAAGAACGAAGGAUGAGGUGUGGAAACAUAAAAGGAUGCGCAAUGUGAAAGAAAAAAAUAAAGAAAUGAAAGAACUGGAGCGAGAAAUUGU
This 497-nucleotide long non-coding RNA is filed under the name Ananas comosus (pineapple). RNAcentral describes it as "long non-coding RNA (ACOM_LNC021248)". The record is from RNAcentral. Lineage: Eukaryota; Viridiplantae; Streptophyta; Magnoliopsida; Poales; Bromeliaceae.